UGCCAGCAGCCGCGGUAAUACGGAGGGUGUAAGCGUUAAUCGGAAUUACUGGGCGUAAAGCGCGCGUAGGCGGUAUGGUCAGUCGGAUGUGAAAGCCCCGGGCUCAACCUGGGAAUUGCAUUCGAUACUGCCAAACUAGAAUAUGGGAGAGGCAAGUGGAAUUUCCGGUGUAGCGGUGAAAUGCGUAGAUAUCGGAAGGAACACCAGUGGCGAAGGCGGCUUGCUGGCCCAAUAUUGACGCUGAGGUGCGAAAGCGUGGGUAGCGAACAGGAUUAGAUA
RNAcentral lists this ribosomal RNA (279 nucleotides) under uncultured bacterium. RNAcentral describes it as "partial 16S ribosomal RNA". It matches the Rfam family "Bacterial small subunit ribosomal RNA", at positions 506 to 784 of the family's 1533-position model. The record is from RNAcentral.